UCAUGGCUCAGGAUGAACGCUAGCGGCAGGCCUAACACAUGCAAGUCGAGGGGUAGAGUUAGCUUGCUAACUUGAGACCGGCGCACGGGUGCGUAACGCGUAUGCAAUCUACCUUGUACUGAGGGAUAGCCCAGAGAAAUUUGGAUUAAUACCUCAUAGUAUUAUUGAGUGGCAUCAUUUAAUAAUUAAAGUUCCAACGGUACAAGAUGAGCAUGCGUCCCAUUAGUUAGUUGGUAAGGUAACGGCUUACCAAGACUAUGAUGGGUAGGGGUCCUGAGAGGGAGAUCCCCCACACUGGUACUGAGACACGGACCAGACUCCUACGGGAGGCAGCAGUGAGGAAUAUUGGACAAUGGGCGCAAGCCUGAUCCAGCCAUGCCGCGUGCAGGAAGACGGUCCUAUGGAUUGUAAACUGCUUUUAUACAGGAAGAAACACUCCCUCGUGAGGGAGCUUGACGGUACUGUAGGAAUAAGGAUCGGCUAACUCCGUG
Molecule: ribosomal RNA, 491 nt
Filed under: uncultured bacterium
Lineage: Bacteria
Description: bacterial SSU rRNA
Rfam family: Bacterial small subunit ribosomal RNA
Source: RNAcentral